CAGACUAUCACAGGGCUGACACAGAGACAGAGUCAACAAUGAAUCUAACCUGCAUGUCUUUGGGACUGUCCGGAGGGGAGCCAGAGAACCCGGAGAGAACCCACGCUAACACGGGGGAGAACAUGCUACCUCCACACAGAAGGGCACCACAAGCGACCCUCUAGGCUGUGAGGCGACAGUGCUUACCACUGCACCACCGUGCAAGCCCUACUUUUCAUAAGCUCAUUUUAUUUUUCAAUUCCUUAGUUUUCCUAGUUUUUGGGAUCUUAGUACACUUAAUAGAGGGCUCCAGGGAUGACGUAUUUUUGUUGGCCAGCCAAGAAGUUAGCAUCGACCGUGGUUCCCUCAACAAAAAGCCAAUGAGAUUGUUCCAUUUGGUUUUGGAUUAUUGCAGAAAAUCAGCUUUGUUGCAAUACACACGUUGAUACUGAUACGUUUGUUCAGCAAGAUAAUCUCCACUAAUGAACACCACUUCUAUGAUUUUUGAAGUGUGAAUUCAAUCACCAGAAGUAAAAAGCUAACGUUAGGCUAUAAACAAACUACACCACGGUCACUGAACGAGGUUUCGUCUGAUAAUGGCGAGUGGAGUGAGAGAAGAUGAAGAGGAGGAGGUGAAAGAACAGAGAGGGAGUGAGUUAAUGAGGAGUGAAUGGAAGGGGAGCGGAGUGCCUUUGAAACCAUAUAAACCCAACUGAAAAUGAAAAAUGACAUUCCUGAGUGGUGGAACAGAGCGAGGACUGUCAUCAGAGAGGGAAGUCUGGGAUGACGGAUGGACUGCAGGGAGGACGGGCGUAGAUAGAUUGAGAGUGGACAGAAAAUGAGUGUGUACACACAGCUGCAGAGGGUGGACUCGGACCUCAUCAUCUCCGGUGGAACCACCAAAUAAACAGGACAAGGUUAUUUUCAAAUACUCCCUGUCUCACACAGACACUUAAACUGGGACAGUGAGACAGAGCUGGAGGGGAAAUAGACGUUCAAAUGAUUAAAAUGACUUUCAACCAUCACCA
Molecule: long non-coding RNA, 1007 nt
Organism: Sebastes umbrosus (honeycomb rockfish)
Lineage: Eukaryota; Metazoa; Chordata; Actinopteri; Perciformes; Sebastidae
Exons: 2
Source: RefSeq, a predicted model, not a curated record